RNAcentral lists this ribosomal RNA (460 nucleotides) under uncultured bacterium. RNAcentral's name for it is "partial 16S ribosomal RNA". It matches the Rfam family "Bacterial small subunit ribosomal RNA", at positions 338 to 795 of the family's 1533-position model. The record is from RNAcentral.
CCUACGGGUGGCAGCAGUGAGGAAUAUUGGUCAAUGGACGAGAGUCUGAACCAGCCAAGUAGCGUGAAGGAUGACUGCCCUCUGGGUUGUAAACUUCUUUUAUAUGGGAAUACAAUGUUCCACGUGUGGGAUUUUGUAUGUACCAUAUGAAUAAGGAUCGGCUAACUCCGUGCCAGCAGCCGCGGUAAUACGGAGGAUCCGAGCGUUAUCCGGAUUUAUUGGGUUUAAAGGGAGCGUAGGUGGAUUGUUAAGUCAGUUGUGAAAGUUUGCGGCUCAACCGUAAAAUUGCAGGUGAAACUGGCAGUCUUGAGUACAGUAGAGGUGGGCGGAAUUCGUGGUGUAGUGGUGAAAUGCUUAGAUAUCACGAAGAACUCCGAUUGCGAAGGCAGUUCACUGGACUGCAACUGACACUGAGGCUCGAAAGUGUGGGUAUCAAACAGGAUUAGAUACCCGAGUAGUC